CUAAGGAGAGGCAGAGAUGCGUAUCCGAUGGACAGCAGGUUUAAGAUUCCUGCACCCCUUGUUAUCAGAACUGCGGGGACACGGGAAGGGAAGCAGAGCCGGGAAUGGAAAGCCCGGUGCAAGCGAAGUAGUCGCAGGGUUGGAAAAUCCGCCCUGCAUAAGACGAAGGCGUGAUGCGGAGCGAAAUGAAGUAGUGAAGCUGCGGCCCCUUCCUGUCGAGAAAAGCCGCUAUCGUGUAGCAAGGGCCCGUACCGUAAACCGACACAGGUGGAUGAGGAGAGGAUCCUAAGGCCGGCGGGAGAAGUGUUGUUAAGGAACUCGGCAAAAUGACUCCGUAACUUCGGGAGAAGGAGUGCUGCGCAAGCAGCCGCAGAGAAAUGGCCCAAGCAACUGUUUAGCAAAAACACAGGUCUAUGCGAAACCGAAAGGUGAGGUAUAUGGGCUGACGCCUGCCCGGUGCUGGAAGGUUAAGGGGAGAGCUUAGCGCAAGCGAAGGUUUGAACUUAAGCCCCAGUAAACGGCGGCCGUAACUAUAACGGUCCUAAGGUAGCGAAAUUCCUUGUCGGGUAAGUUCCGACCCGCACGAAAGGCGUAAUGAUUUGGGCACUGUCUCAACAACACACCCGGUGAAAUUGAAAUACCAGUGAAGAUGCUGGUUACCCGCGCCAGGACGGAAAGACCCCAUGGAGCUUUACUCCAGCCUGAUACUGGGAUUCGGUAUUGCAUGUACAGGAUAGGUGGGAGGCUAAGAACUCAUGGCGCCAGCCGUGAGGGAGCCGAUGUUGGGAUACCACCCCUGCAGUACUGGGUUUCUAACCUGCGCCCGUGACCCGGGCGGGGGACAAUGUCAGGCGGGGAGUUUGACUGGGGCGGUCGCCUCCGAAAGGGUAACGGAGGCGCUCAAAGGUCUCCUCAGGAUGGUUGGAAACCAUCCAGAGAGUGCAAAGGCAGAAGGAGGCUUGACUGCGACACCGACGGGUGGAGCAGGUACGAAAGUAGGACUUAGUGAUCCGGUGGCAUAAAGUGGGAUUGCCAUCGCUCAACGGAUAAAAGCUACCCUGGGAUAACAGGCUUAUCACUCCCAAGAGUUCACAUCGACGGAGUGGUUUGGCACCUCGAUGUCGGCUCAUCGCAUCCUGGAGCUGGAGCAGGUUCCAAGGGUUGGGCUGUUCGCCCAUUAAAGCGGUACGCGAGCUGGGUUCAGAACGUCGUGAGACAGUUCGGUCCCUAUCCGGCGCGGGCGCAGGAUAUCUGAGAGGAGCUGUCCUUAGUACGAGAGGACCGGGAUGGACCGUCCGCUGGUGGACCGGUUGUCAUGCCAAUGGCACGGCCGGGUAGCCAAGACGGGAAGGGAUAAACGCUGAAGGCAUCUAAGCGUGAAGCCCCCCUCAAGAUGAGAUAUCCAUACUCGAAAGAGUGAGAGACCCCUUAGAGACGAUGAGGUAGAUAGGGCAGAGAUGGAAGUGCAGCGAUGCAUGGAGUUGACUGUUACUAAUCGGUCGAAAGCCAA
RNAcentral lists this ribosomal RNA (1510 nucleotides) under metagenome. Its description in RNAcentral is "bacterial LSU rRNA". It matches the Rfam family "Bacterial large subunit ribosomal RNA", at positions 1391 to 2925 of the family's 2925-position model. The record is from RNAcentral.